GAUAGAGAAAGUGGAUGAGUCUCGGCACCGCGCAGCGGUGUCGAGGCUCCAUGCACGGGCCAUCCUGCUCCAGAUCAGGAAAGCUCUUAUUUGAGGUUGAGGCCUUUGGGGUGUAAUGUUUCUAAUUUUCUUAUCCAUGUCCUUUCAGCUCGGGUUCUCUGUGUGGCGUUCCAGCUGGGGUCCAUCUGGAUGAUCGUGGCCCGGACAGACGACCAUCCAUGGGCCAGAAAAUGGCUGACCAGAGGCGUGUGGGUUUCCCUCCGCCUCUGGAUGUUGUAGCGGUGUUGGGUGAACCGCUGUAAGAGCGUGUUUCUGGUCUCGCCCACAUACUGUAGGCCGCACAUAAGACAUGAAAUAAGAUACACGCAAUUUUUGGAGUGUGGAUUGCCACAUGCCAUGGUCUUAUGGACUGUUUUGUUGACAUGGCUGUGGAUCCAGGUGGCAUGUUUGAAAAAUUGGCCAUGGCCUCUGGAUUUUGAGGUCGAUAGGGGCUUAACUUUGGCUGUCACCAGAUGGUCCUGGAGGUUUUUGUUUUUCCUAUAGGCUGCUAUGAACCUGUGGUUAUUAAGGAGUCCCGGAUCAAUGAUUUUUUGUUGGAAAUUUUCUUUGAUUUUUCUGCACAGAGCGAUUGCUGGCUUGGAAUAGGUGGUGACGAAGGGGAGUACAUCCGACGUGUCUACUGGUUUUGUUUCCAGAAAGGUGCUGAGGGCCUUCCGCCGGAAGGAGCGUACAUAGCCCCUGGUGGCGAGAGCUCUGAAAAGCGUUUUUGUGGCCGCCAUGAAGUCACUUUUGUGUGUGCAGAUACGGUGGAAACGGAGUAAUUGUGAUUUCAAAAGGCCCCUAUAUGUGUGUUUGGGGUGGUGGCUGGUCUUAUAAAGCAGGGCAUGGGUGUCUGUUUCUUUGAAGAAAACUUUAAUGUCUAAUUUGUUUGUAUGCUGGAAAUUGAUCCCCUUGUAGGUGGUGGUAUCCAGGAAGUCGACCGACGUGGUGCUAGUGGUGGACUUCAGUGUGAUGGACGGGUUGUGAUUAUUCAAGGCUGCCAGGGCGGAGGUCUCCCAUUCGGCCAUGAAGAUGUUGGCAUAUGCCGGUGCAAAUUUUUUGCCCAUGGCAGUGCCUUUAAUUUGUAAAUAAAAUUUGCUGUCAAAUUCAAAAUCAUUUCUCCUCAGGUUGAUUGCAAGGAGUUGUAAUAGUUCCUUAUCAGGUCUCUUUUUGUCUGGAAAUUUUGUAAAUAUGUUUUUUAUGGCCUGUAUGCCUUCAUCAAUAUCAAUAUUGGUGUAUAGACUGUCAACAUCCAUAGUGAACAGGAUGGAGUCGGGGGGGAUAUGUAGUUGUUUGACCGUAUUAAUAAAGUGGUAAGUGUCCUUGAGAUAGCCGAAGUGUCUGUUAGAAAGUGGGUUGAUAUAAUAAUCAAUAAAUUGGGCCGUGUAGUAGGUCUCACUAUCACAAUCAGAGACAAUCGGCCUUCCAGGUGGGAUUUCAAAGGGGACACUCCACUUUGAGGGCUCUUUAUGUAUCUUGGGCAGCAGGUAAAACAGUCUGGGCCGGGGGAUCGGAUUACCCAGCAGGUAAGUGUAUUGUUUUUUGUUUAUGAAUUUUUUAUCUAAUAAUGAUUUAAUAAUUGGUUGCACCAUUUUUUUAGUUUCAGGGUAGAUAGGAUCCUUUAAGACAGAAUAAUAUUUUUUGUCUGUUAGCUGUCUGUUGCCCUCAAAUAAAUAUUGUUCCCUGUCCAUCACCACUACUGCGCUGCCUUUAUCUGCUGGUUUUAUAAUGAUGUUUUUGUUUUCUUUCAGUUCCUUGAGGGCUUCAAUUUCCUCCUGGCUCAAAUUAUUCCUGAUUGGGAUUGGCUGGAAAUUGUUUUCAAAAUAAUGAAUAUCCGCUUGGAUGAGGUCAGUGAUUUCCGGUGGCAAAUUAGACAAGGGGGGGCUCCAAUCAGAUUUUUGGGUAAAGGGGGUGAAAAUCACAUCUUUUUUAUUUUGAAAAUAAACAUGGAGUUUGAUUCUCCUGUGAUAUUGCUGCAGGUCCCAUCUGCUUUGCUCAAUGAUGUUGCUCUGGCUCCCCCUAGUGGGGAUGAAAGAGAGGCCCCUGUCCAGGAGUGUGAACUGGGCCUGGGUUAAUUUGAAUGUCUGUGAUAACAACAGUACAUUUUUUGACCCCUCCUGAGAGUGCAGGCUUAUGGGGAUGAGCAUUUUAAAUACCCCGUCCAGUGGUCAAACAUGUGUUUGGCGGUGGCUUUUGUCCAGUGUAUGUUAUCUGCUCCAGUUUCAAAAGAUUUGGAGGGCAGUCUGGGGAUGAAGAGGCAGUUUUUUUGGAUAUGUGCGUUCAGGUGGACCAGGCAGGCCUGCUCUUUGAGAGGUAAGUGACGGGAAUAAUUGAUUAAAGGCACCCAAACGGCCGCUUGAGGGAAUUUAGCCUCAGCUGCCUCCACUGUGGCUAAUAGCUGCUGUGCCAGGAUUGUUUUGGAUGCAGCGUUUCUGUUGUUUAUACCAAAAGAGAGGACCAAUUUCUCUAAUUUGGUGGAGGUGGUGGCCUUAUCAAUUAGCGUUUUAGCAUGUGCUAAUGUCGCCCCUGGGUAGCUGUCAAUUUGUAGGUUGGUGCUUUCAAAUGGAGGCAUUUUGGCCAAGUUAGAGUCGCCAAUAAAGGCCCACUCUUUGCCAAUGCUGAGGCCCCAAUCCUGUAUUUUAUUCUGUGUGUUUAUGUGUUUUGUAGGUCUCCUGGUGUUGGGCAUAGGCACUGGGGUCGGCGCUGUCGGUCUAGGCCGCAGCGUGAGUCUGCUCUGGGUUGCUCUUCUAAGGCUCCUGAAUUUAACCGGAGUGGACUGAGCGGUGGAGGCCUCAAAAGGGCCUUUAUGGGGCUCUACCAGAUCCCCGUCACCUGAGAGGCAGGUGAUGGAGUCUGGGCUGUGGACCACACACGGGUUUAAAGGAGCCACUGUCGGAGCCAGAGCGGCUGGUAGCGCCGGAGAGGCUGCUGGCACCGGAGCGGCCAACUGCCCUGGAGCAGCCGCUGGCGCUGGAGCGGCAAGCUGUACCGGAGCGGCCUCCGGCAUCGGAGCGGCCUCCGACACCGGAGCAGCCUCCGGCACCGAAGCGUCAGGCUGCGAGGGAGGAGUUGCCGGAGCGGCCAGCCGUACAGGAGCAGCAACCACCGCGGGGGCAGCCGUCGUCGUCGGAGGAGGAUUUUCAGGUAAGUUAACAUUUUUUUCUUCCUCUCCCUUUGCAGGUAAGUGUACCGCAGGCGCUAACCUCCGGACUCUCUGGGGCCUCGGCUGCUGCUUAAAGAAGCCGAGGAGGUCCAGGGAGGCCGCUGGAGGAGGAGGAGGAGGAGGAGGAGGAGGAGGGGGGGCUGGUGUUACUGGUGAGUGGGCCCGUGUUUCCAGUACCUCCAAUUCCCUGUUGUCAUUGUUGACGUGGAUUUGUGCCUGAACACUGUGUUGUGUUUGUGUUUUUUGUUUAUCGAACACAGGUGGCGGAGCUGUGGCAGGGGGUGGUGGCGGGCAGUCAGGCUUUCCCUCAUCCGUGUCUGGGUCGAGCUGCACGACCAUGAGGGCCUCCACCUGCUCCAGGGUCUCAGCCUGGAGUCUCCUACCCAGGUGUCUUUUUGCCCAGGUGGAGGCCACUUGAAAGGGGGCAGGCCAAUCCCGUUUGGGCAAUGCAGAUAAGGUGUUAAACUCCUUAUCAAUGGAGUCAAUGUAGUGAUCCCUGAGAAUAAGGAUUGUUGUAUAUUCCCAGUUUUUGGCAUUGCUCUCAAUGAGGAGACGGGCCCCCUCACUGGGGCUAGCCGGUUUAAUUGUGGUGGCCAAAUUAGUUGUUAAUUUAUGGAUUGCUGGGGGGGGCUUAUCGGUCGAAACAUUUUUCAGGUGGUGGGCCAAUGUAAUGAUUUUUUUCAUUAUCCUGGCCUUAAUUCCAAAAUCAGGGUCAUCAGACUGUUGUCUGUUCCCAUUCCUGUUUCUCUCCCUCUUUUCCCCAUGUGUGUUGCUUGUAUUCCUCCCUGUGUUGCCUGUGUUUCUCCCUGUUCCCCCUGUAUUUCUCCCUGUGUUAUCUGUGUUUCUCCCUGUGUUCCAUGUGUUUCUCCCUGUGUAUCCUGUAUUUCUCCCUGUGUUCCAUGUAUUUCUCCCUGUGUUUCCUGUAUUUCUCCCUGUGUUCCAUGUGUUUCUCCCUGUGUUUCCUGUAUUUCUCCCUGUGUUUCUCCCUGAAUUCCAUGUGUUUCUCCCUGUGUUCCAUGUGUUUCUCCCUGUGUUCCAUGUUGUGUUGUGUCUUGCAGGUUGGUUGUACGGGGCCCUGCGGCUUCCCGGAUUUUCAAAAAAUUGUGGCCUAUGGCCAUGCUCCGUGGAACGGUAGCGUUGUGGGUAGUCGUCCCUCCGUCCAUGUCCUCUAACAACAGAGGCAUAGCUGGGACGCUGCCCUGUGGCCUGGUAGCGUUGGCGGGAGCGGUACUGGGCUGAGCGGGGUCUGGGCCUUCCCCCCGGGGGCUGCCUGUAGCGGUCACGCCGUGUGCUCGAGCUGUGAGAAGCAAGUGGGACUGAGGAGUGGGCAGGCUGGGUAUUUAUAGACAAGAGGGGGGGUGAGUGGGGGGCCAGGGGUUGCCAGCUGCAAGUCGUCACGUGUUUAUUCCAACUGUCAAAUCCCCUGUUGUCCCCCUCCCCGUGAAAAGUCCCUUUAGAAAAUUAAUAUUACCAAUAUUCCACUAAUUAUGCCCCUAUAAAUGGGUUAUUACCAUGUAAUACAUAAAUAAAUAAAUAAAUAAAGACCCUUGAAAUUUGUUUGUCCUUUUUUCCUUUUCCAGAUGAGU
This is an RNA transcript of Dicentrarchus labrax (European seabass), 4788 nucleotides long. It is a transcript of the gene named fibroin heavy chain-like, with no coding region annotated. Lineage: Eukaryota; Metazoa; Chordata; Actinopteri; Moronidae. The transcript is spliced from 3 exons. The record is from RefSeq and is a predicted model, not a curated record.